GAUGAACGCUGGCGGCGUGCCUAAUACAUGCAAGUCGAGCGAACGGACGAGAAGCUUGCUUCUCUGAUGUUAGCGGCGGACGGGUGAGUAACACGUGGAUAACCUACCUAUAAGACUGGGAUAACUUCGGGAAACCGUAGCUAGUACCGGAUAAUAUUUUGAACCGCAUGGUUCAAAAGUGAAAGACGGUCUUGCUGUCACUUAUAGAUGGAUCCGCGCUGCAUUAGCUAGUUGGUAAGGUAACGGCUUACCAAGGCAACGAUGCAUAGCCGACCUGAGAGGGUGAUCGGCCACCCUGGAACUGAGACACGGUCCAGACUCCUACGGGAGGCAGCAGUAGGGAAUCUUCCGCAAUGGGCGAAAGCCUGACGGAGCAACGCCGCGUGAGUGAUGAAGGUCUUCGGAUCGUAAAACUCUGUUAUUAGGGAAGAACAUAUGUGUAAGUAACUGUGCACAUCUUGACGGUACCUAAUCAGAAAGCCACGGCUAACUACGUG
RNAcentral lists this ribosomal RNA (497 nucleotides) under uncultured bacterium. RNAcentral's name for it is "partial 16S ribosomal RNA". It matches the Rfam family "Bacterial small subunit ribosomal RNA", at positions 28 to 507 of the family's 1533-position model. The record is from RNAcentral.